GACGAACGCUGGCGGCGUGCUUAACACAUGCAAGUCGAACGGAAAGGCCCUGCUUUUGUGGGGUGCUCGAGUGGCGAACGGGUGAGUAACACGUGAGUAACCUGCCCUUGACUUUGGGAUAACUUCAGGAAACUGGGGCUAAUACCGGAUAGGAGCUCCUGCUGCAUGGUGGGGGUUGGAAAGUUUCGGCGGUUGGGGAUGGACUCGCGGCUUAUCAGCUUGUUGGUGGGGUAGUGGCUUACCAAGGCUUUGACGGGUAGCCGGCCUGAGAGGGUGACCGGCCACAUGGGGACUGAGAAACGGCCCAGACUCCUACGGGAGGAAGCAGUGGGGAAUAUUGCACAAUGGGCGGAAGCCUGAUGCAGCAACGCCGCGUGCGGGAUGACGGCCUUCGGGUUGUAAACCGCUUUCGCCUGUGACGAAGCGUGAGUGACGGUAAUGGGUAAAGAAGCACCGGCGAACUACGU
Molecule: ribosomal RNA, 467 nt
Filed under: uncultured bacterium
Lineage: Bacteria
Description: partial 16S ribosomal RNA
Rfam family: Bacterial small subunit ribosomal RNA
Source: RNAcentral